Molecule: unclassified non-coding RNA, 1413 nt
Filed under: Hevea brasiliensis (rubber tree)
Lineage: Eukaryota; Viridiplantae; Streptophyta; Magnoliopsida; Malpighiales; Euphorbiaceae
Source: RNAcentral
UAAAUAUGUUUUAUUCAAUUGAAAUCCCAUCUUGAUUUUAAAAAAUCAGACUAAUAACAAGCUCAAAUCAUGUUCUCGGGGAUCAAAAUGAUUGGGGGCCCCUUUUGUCUCAGCAGAAUACCGUGGACGCAAGCAUAUAAUUAACUAUAAUGUGCCCUUUUAAGUUGCAACAGAAGAGUUAAAAACUGAAAAUCCACUUUAGACAAUCACGUUCGUCAAGACCUUGAAGAUGCAACGACCGCAGUUACUCUCAAAAUAGCCAUGGCUGAAAUAUCACAAUAGAACCAGUGUACUAAGUUCCCAUUCAAGAUAAAGAGCUUCCAGUCAUGUCCGCAAAUAAAUCUAUUUGAUUGAACCCAUGACAUAUCCUCACAUAUAAACAGUGCCUCAAGCAUCAAUGCCUAAUUCGUACAUAAUUGUGUAUAUAUUAAGCUAAUCGACAAUGUUCCCUAACACCACAAGCCCAUUGGUACAAUAAAACACAGGGAAAGAAGUUCCAAGUUUUUGUAUAUGCUUAUGAAGUGUUGGUAUCUGCAAUUGUUGAAGAAUAGCCUUGUAAUAACAUUUACUUUGUGCUCUUCCACCAGUACUUCCUAUCUACAUUUGCAUUGGCAAUUUCUUCCAGUUGAAAGUGUCUUGUUUUGACACGUACAUGUUAAGAGCACACUAGCAAAUGAAAUGCUGAGCUAAAAGAGAACAUGGUAAGCUACUAUGACCAAUAACACAACAGAACAUGCCAUCGCAGCAAUGGCAGCAGCAGCGAGGCCAGCUCGCUCCCUAGGAUCUUUUCUGUAAUAAUUUCCAAAGUAAAGAAUUGUGGCAUAGUACCACAUCAAUGGGAACACAAAUCCUAAAAGAAAGGAAAACCAUCCUAUACCACAGCCAAAGCAUGGAAGGGGUUUGUCAUAGAUCCCAACUUGGAAGUCCUCAGGAUCCCUAAGAAGAGUAUACUUUCCCUUUUCACGGUCUGCAGCAUCUGGGGCUUGCCCUCUAGCCGCUGAAUGGUAUCGAGCAGAUGGCCUAAGAAGAUCAAUAUGCUUAUCAGAGGCAGAUUUCACCAUCUCAAGGCCAUUCCGUAUAUCCUCUUUCCCCUCAAUUGCAACACUUUGAUCCAUUAGUGCUAGGGCAGCCUGUUCAGCAGGUUGUACUCCUGAACUCUUUAUUGAACUCCAAAAAUACCUGAGUCAAAAAUUAAAGAAACUCUUAAUAUUAAAUUAUAUACCAAUUAUGUCAAUGAUAGUUUCUUUUAACUCGAUGCAAUGCUCAAUGGCAAAAAACUAAUAAAAGAAAGUAGCAGUAUAACCAUUGGUGAUUUGAUUAGAUCAAGGCUUAAAAUGUCAACAAAAUUACAAUGGGACAAGGAAAUUUAAAUACAUACUCAACUCAACUUUUAUCCCAAUAAUUUGGGGUCGG